GAAUGGUAAUGGAUUUAUGCUGAUCUUUUCUUUUUGGGCUUUUCAUAGUGUAAUCGUGCUGGAGUAAAGUGCAGUCUUGAACCAUUUCCCACCAUCCUCACCUGUGAACUGUGAGCACUGAAGGGAAUUGUACAGUU
RNAcentral lists this small nucleolar RNA (137 nucleotides) under Sorex araneus (European shrew). Its description in RNAcentral is "Small nucleolar RNA SNORA42/SNORA80 family (ENSSARG00000017201.1)". Lineage: Eukaryota; Metazoa; Chordata; Mammalia; Eulipotyphla; Soricidae. The record is from RNAcentral.